AUAGUAAAUACAUUUUGUUUUAGCUACAUAUAUCUUCAUGGAUAUGUGUACUGGAUUAUGAUGAAAAAUGUCUUUCUUACUAUGAGUACAGUAAAAAAAAGCAACUUUUUUUUUUUGAGGCAGAGUCUUACUCUGUCACCCAAGCUGGAGUCCAGUGACAUGAUCUCAGCUCACUGCAACCUCCACCUCCCAGGUUCAAGCAAUUCUCCUGCCUCAGCCUCCCAAGUAGCUGGGAUUGCAGGUGCCCACCACCACACUUGGCAAAUUUUUGUAUUUUUAGUAGAGACAGGGUUUCACCAUGUUGGCCAGGCUGGUCUCGAACUCCUGACCUCAGGUGAUCUGCCCGCCUCGGCCUUCCAAAGUGUUGGGAUUACAGGCAUGAGCCACUGUGCCCGGCCAAAAAAAGGCAACUUUGAAUGCUGCUCAUCUGCAGUUAAAGAGCACUGCCAGGCCUGAUAUUCAAAGCCAUCGAGGCAGAAGCAAUUGCUGAGGAAGAUCAGGCAAUGCUUCAUGGGAAAAAGGGUCUCACUGUGUCAUCCAGGCUGGAGUGCAGUGGUGCAAUCUCGGCUCACCACGACCUCCACCUCCUGGGUUCAAGUGAUUCUCCUACUUCAUCCUCCCAAGUAGCUGGGACUACAGGGGACCAGAUGUGCAGAGGUAAUGAAUACCAGGGAAUCAGGAAACCACUGGAUCAGUUCUUUGAGCCACAGAACAACACUCAUCCCAGCAGCUGGGAAGCUAUCUGCAAAAGUCCAUCUGCAGAAAGGGCUUCCUGGUCUUGCGUGUGGCUGGGCCAUUUCUCUGGAUGCAGGUUUUUCAUUAUACAGUCUUCUCAAAGAACCACCUGCUCU
Molecule: long non-coding RNA, 851 nt
Organism: Homo sapiens (human)
Lineage: Eukaryota; Metazoa; Chordata; Mammalia; Primates; Hominidae
Gene: PCBP1-AS1
Product: PCBP1 antisense RNA 1
Source: Ensembl